This 249-nucleotide long non-coding RNA is filed under the name Musa acuminata (dwarf banana). RNAcentral describes it as "long non-coding RNA (MACU_LNC010912)". Lineage: Eukaryota; Viridiplantae; Streptophyta; Magnoliopsida; Zingiberales; Musaceae. The record is from RNAcentral.
GAACUCGCAACAAAUCCUUCGCGCUUGACUCCGACACUUUGUUUCACUUUAUGUCUUCAUCGUUAUCGUAGUUAAUCCUGCACACACAAGUAAAAACUCUACUCCGAUCUAGACAAUUAUUACAACGCGAAUUGACAUUCUGUUGCCCGGCACGUCAUUGGUUGGCGCUUCGUCCGAUUCUUUAGCGCAUCAUCCUCUCUUGCGGCUUGUUGCCCAAUCGACGGUUAACCUCCGCAACCCCGAUAUCCU